This 497-nucleotide ribosomal RNA is filed under the name uncultured bacterium. RNAcentral describes it as "partial 16S ribosomal RNA". It matches the Rfam family "Bacterial small subunit ribosomal RNA", at positions 28 to 507 of the family's 1533-position model. The record is from RNAcentral.
GAUGAACGCUGGCGGCGUGCCUAAUACAUGCAAGUCGAGCGAACAGACGAGGAGCUUGCUCCUCUGACGUUAGCGGCGGACGGGUGAGUAACACGUGGAUAACCUACCUAUAAGACUGGGAUAACUUCGGGAAACCGGAGCUAAUACCGGAGAAUAUAUUGAACCGCAUGGUUCAAUAGUGAAAGACGGUUUUGCUGUCACUUAUAGCUGGAUCCGCGCCGCAUUAGCUAGUUGGUAAGGUAACGGCUUACCAAGGCAACGAUGCGUAGCCGACCUGAGAGGGUGAUAGGCCACAUGGGAACUGAGACACGGUCAAGACUCCUGCGGGAGGCAGCAGUAGGGAAUCUGCCGCAAUGGGCGAAAGCUUGACGGAGCAACGCCGCGUGAGUGAUGAAGGUCUUCGGAUCGUAAAACUCUGUUAUUAGGGAAGAACAAAUGUGUAAGUAACUAUGCAUGUCUUGACGGUACCUAAUCAGAAAGCCACGGCUAACUACGUG